This 436-nucleotide ribosomal RNA is filed under the name uncultured bacterium. Its description in RNAcentral is "bacterial SSU rRNA". It matches the Rfam family "Bacterial small subunit ribosomal RNA", at positions 32 to 476 of the family's 1533-position model. The record is from RNAcentral.
AAUCAACGCUGGCGGCGUGCCUCAGACAUGCAAGUCGAACGAUUAAAGCUCUCUUCGGAGAGUGUAUAGAGUGGCGCACGGGUGAGUAACACGUAAGUAAUCUACCUUUGAGUGGGGAAUAACAGUCGGAAACGACUGCUAAUACCGCAUAAUGCAGCGGCAUCGCAAGAUGACAGUUGUUAAAGAUUUAUCGCUUGAAGAGGAGCUUGCGGCAGAUUAGCUAGUUGGUAAGGUAAUGGCUUACCAAGGCUACGAUCUGUAACCGGUCUAAGAGGACGGUCGGUCACACUGACACUGAAUAACGGGUCAGACUCCUACGGGAGGCAGCAGUCGGGAAUUUUGGGCAAUGGGCGAAAGCCUGACCCAGCAACGCCGCGUGAGGGAUGAAGUAUUUCGGUAUGUAAACUUCGAAAGAAUGGGAAGAAUCAAUGACGGU